CGGCGGACGGGUGAGUAACACGUGGAUAACCUACCUAUAAGACUGGGAUAACUUAGGGAAACCGGAGCUAAUACCGGAUAAUAUUUUGAACCGCAUGGUUCAAAAGUGAAAGACGGUCUUGCUGUCACUUAUAGAUGGAUCCGCGCUGCAUUAGCUAGUUGGUAAGGUAACGGCUUACCAAGGCAACGAUGCAUAGCCGACCUGAGAGGGUGAUCGGCCACACUGGAACUGAGACACGGUCCAG
This 244-nucleotide ribosomal RNA is filed under the name uncultured Staphylococcus sp. RNAcentral describes it as "partial 16S ribosomal RNA". It matches the Rfam family "Bacterial small subunit ribosomal RNA", at positions 96 to 334 of the family's 1533-position model. The record is from RNAcentral. Lineage: Bacteria; Bacillati; Bacillota; Bacilli; Caryophanales; Staphylococcaceae.